GACGAACGCUGGCGGCGUGCUUAACACAUGCAAGUCGAACGGAAAGGCCCUGCUUGCAGGGUGCUCGAGUGGCGAACGGGUGAGUAACACGUGGGUGAUCUGCCCCUUAUUUUGGGAUAAGCCUGGGAAACUGGGUCUAAUACUGGAUAGGACCAUGCUGUAGGUGGUGUGGUGGAAAGAUUAGUUUCGGUAAGGGAUGAGCUCGCGGCCUAUCAGCUUGUUGGUGGGGUAAUGGCCUACCAAGGCGUCGACGGGUAGCCGGCCUGAGAGGGUGGACGGCCACAUUGGGACUGAGAUACGGCCCAGACUCCUACGGGAGGCAGCAGUGGGGAAUAUUGCACAAUGGGCGCAAGCCUGAUGCAGCGACGCCGCGUGGGGGAUGACGGCCUUCGGGUUGUAAACUCCUUUCAGCCAUGACGAAGCCCUUGUGGUGACGGUAGUGGUAGAAGAAGCACCUGCUAACUACGU
This 468-nucleotide ribosomal RNA is filed under the name uncultured bacterium. Its description in RNAcentral is "partial 16S ribosomal RNA". It matches the Rfam family "Bacterial small subunit ribosomal RNA", at positions 28 to 506 of the family's 1533-position model. The record is from RNAcentral.